This 365-nucleotide ribosomal RNA is filed under the name Clostridioides difficile. RNAcentral's name for it is "bacterial SSU rRNA". It matches the Rfam family "Bacterial small subunit ribosomal RNA", at positions 1 to 373 of the family's 1533-position model. Lineage: Bacteria; Bacillati; Bacillota; Clostridia; Peptostreptococcales; Peptostreptococcaceae. The record is from RNAcentral.
UUUUAUUUGAGAGUUUGAUCCUGGCUCAGGAUGAACGCUGGCGGCGUGCCUAACACAUGCAAGUUGAGCGAUUUACUUCGGUAAAGAGCGGCGGACGGGUGAGUAACGCGUGGGUAACCUACCCUGUACACACGGAUAACAUACCGAAAGGUAUGCUAAUACGGGAUAAUAUAUUUGAGAGGCAUCUCUUGAAUAUCAAAGGUGAGCCAGUACAGGAUGGACCCGCGUCUGAUUAGCUAGUUGGUAAGGUAACGGCUUACCAAGGCGACGAUCAGUAGCCGACCUGAGAGGGUGAUCGGCCACAUUGGAACUGAGACACGGUCCAAACUCCUACGGGAGGCAGCAGUGGGGAAUAUUGCACAAUG